RNAcentral lists this non-coding RNA (23 nucleotides) under Arabidopsis thaliana (thale cress). The record is from RNAcentral. Lineage: Eukaryota; Viridiplantae; Streptophyta; Magnoliopsida; Brassicales; Brassicaceae.
UGGUGCGGUUGUGCCAUGGCUUA